RNAcentral lists this ribosomal RNA (465 nucleotides) under uncultured Klebsiella sp. RNAcentral's name for it is "bacterial SSU rRNA". It matches the Rfam family "Bacterial small subunit ribosomal RNA", at positions 338 to 795 of the family's 1533-position model. Lineage: Bacteria; Pseudomonadati; Pseudomonadota; Gammaproteobacteria; Enterobacterales; Enterobacteriaceae. The record is from RNAcentral.
CCUACGGGUGGCUGCAGUGGGGAAUAUUGCACGAUGGGCGCAAGCCUGAUGCAGCCAUGCCGCGUGUGUGAAGAAGGCCUUCGGGUUGUAAAGCACUUUCAGCGGGGAGGAAGGCGUUAAGGUUAAUAACCUUGUCGAUUGACGUUACCCGCAGAAGAAGCACCGGCUAACUCCGUGCCAGCAGCCGCGGUAAUACGGAGGGUGCAAGCGUUAAUCGGAAUUACUGGGCGUAAAGCGCACGCAGGCGGUCUGUCAAGUCGGAUGUGAAAUCCCCGGGCUCAACCUGGGAACUGCAUUCGAAACUGGCAGGCUAGAGUCUUGUAGAGGGGGGUAGAAUUCCAGGUGUAGCGGUGAAAUGCGUAGAGAUCUGGAGGAAUACCGGUGGCGAAGGCGGCCCCCUGGACAAAGACUGACGCUCAGGUGCGAAAGCGUGGGGAGCAAACAGGAUUAGAUACCCGGGUAGUC